AUUGAACGCUGGCGGCAGGCCUAACACAUGCAAGUCGAACGGUAGCACAGAGAGCUUGCUCUCGGGUGACGAGUGGCGGACGGGUGAGUAAUGUCUGGGAAACUGCCCGAUGGAGGGGGAUAACUACUGGAAACGGUAGCUAAUACCGCAUAACGUCGCAAGACCAAAGUGGGGGACCUUCGGGCCUCACACCAUCGGAUGUGCCUAGAUGGGAUUAGCUAGUAGGUGGGGUAAUGGCUCACCUAGGCGACGAUCCCUAGCUGGUCUGAGAGGAUGACCAGCCACACUGGAAAUGAGACACGGUCCAGACUCCUACGGGAGGCAGCAGUGGGGAAUAUUGCACAAUGGGCGCAAGCCUGAUGCAGCCAUGCCGCGUGUAUGAAGAAGGCCUUCGGGUUGUAAAGUACUUUCAGCGGGGAGGAAGGCGGUGGAGUUAAUAGCUUCACCGAUUGACGUUACCCGCAGAAGAAGCACCGGCUAACUCCGUGCCAGCCGCCGCCGUAA
Molecule: ribosomal RNA, 504 nt
Filed under: uncultured bacterium
Lineage: Bacteria
Description: partial 16S ribosomal RNA
Rfam family: Bacterial small subunit ribosomal RNA
Source: RNAcentral